Molecule: transfer RNA, 64 nt
Filed under: Goniobranchus leopardus
Lineage: Eukaryota; Metazoa; Mollusca; Gastropoda; Nudibranchia; Chromodorididae
Description: tRNA-Val
Source: RNAcentral
GUGGGGAAAGUAUAAAUAUUUACAUUUCAGUUACAUUGAGAAAAUCCUUCUUCAGGUCCCCAUU